GCUACAUUGUUCUUUGAAAACUGAAUACGACAAAUCUUUCUAGUCCGAAAUUUGAUUAAAGUAUCAGAUCAAAUUUCAUAUAAUUAUAGAUUCAAUAAAAAUAGCUAAUGGAUCAAAUACAUAAGUUACUAAGGGCUUAUGGUGGAUGCCUUGGGUCUGAAAGUCGAUGAAG
This 172-nucleotide ribosomal RNA is filed under the name Mycoplasmoides gallisepticum. RNAcentral's name for it is "Mycoplasma gallisepticum partial 23S ribosomal RNA". Lineage: Bacteria; Bacillati; Mycoplasmatota; Mycoplasmoidales; Mycoplasmoidaceae. The record is from RNAcentral.